CUUUGUAUCUUCUAACAAGAA
This 21-nucleotide small nuclear RNA is filed under the name Arabidopsis thaliana (thale cress). RNAcentral describes it as "snRNA_10682". Lineage: Eukaryota; Viridiplantae; Streptophyta; Magnoliopsida; Brassicales; Brassicaceae. The record is from RNAcentral.